GUGAGGAAUUUUCCGCAAUGGGCGAAAGCCUGACGGAGCAAUGCCGCGUGAAGGAUGAAGGCCUAUGGGUUGUAAACUUCUUUUCUCAGAAAAGAAUUAUGACGGUAUCUGAGGAAUAAGCAUCGGCUAACUCUGUGCCAGCAGCCGCGGUAAGACAGAGGAUGCAGGCGUUAACCGGAAUGAUUGGGCGUAAAGCGUCUGUAGGUUGUUUAAAAAGUAUUCUGUCAAAGAUUAGGGCUUAACCCUAGAUAGGCAGAAUAAACUUUUAAGCUAGAAUUUGGUAGAGGCAGAGGGAAUUCCCGGUGGAGCGGUGAAAUGCGUAGAUAUCGGGAGGAACACCAAAGGCGAAGGCACUCUGCUGGGCCAAUACUAACACUGAGAGACGAAAGCGAGGGGAGCAAAUGGGAUUAGAUACCCUUGUAGUCC
This 426-nucleotide ribosomal RNA is filed under the name uncultured bacterium. RNAcentral's name for it is "bacterial SSU rRNA". It matches the Rfam family "Bacterial small subunit ribosomal RNA", at positions 354 to 796 of the family's 1533-position model. The record is from RNAcentral.